GGCGAACGGGUGCGUAAUGCAUGGGAAUCUGCCUAGUAGUGGGGAAUAACCCGGCGAAAGCCGGGCUAAUGCCGCAUACGACCUACGGGUGAAAGCGGGGGAUCGCAAGACCUCGCGCUAUUAGAUGAGCCCAUGUCGGAUUAGCUAGUUGGUAGGGUAACGGCCUACCAAGGCGACGAUCCGUAGCUGGUCUGAGAGGACGGCCAGCCACACUGGGACUGAGACACGGCCCAGACUCCUACGGGAGGCAGCAGU
RNAcentral lists this ribosomal RNA (255 nucleotides) under uncultured beta proteobacterium. RNAcentral describes it as "partial 16S ribosomal RNA". It matches the Rfam family "Bacterial small subunit ribosomal RNA", at positions 97 to 355 of the family's 1533-position model. Lineage: Bacteria; Pseudomonadati; Pseudomonadota; Betaproteobacteria. The record is from RNAcentral.